This 382-nucleotide ribosomal RNA is filed under the name uncultured eukaryote. Its description in RNAcentral is "partial 18S ribosomal RNA". It matches the Rfam family "Eukaryotic small subunit ribosomal RNA", at positions 592 to 976 of the family's 1831-position model. The record is from RNAcentral.
UGUAAGCGUAUACCAAAGUUGUUGCAGUUAAAACGCUCGUAGUCGGAAUUUGGCAGUUCCGGAUGUGUGCACGUCGUGUGCGCACUUCGCGGGGAUUGCUUUUGUGGUCUUGCGUAGGAUGAGGCACUUUUAUUAGUGAACGUACUCACGCAACCACUUUUUACUGUGAGAAAAUCAGAGUGCUCAAAGCAGGCAUUUGCCGUGAAUGUAUUAGCAUGGAAUAAUAGAAUAGGACUUGGUUCUAUUUUGUUGGUUUGUUGGGACUGAGUAAUGAUUAAGAGGGACAGUUGGGGGCAUUUGUAUUUCGGUGCUAGAGGUGAAAUUCUUAGAUUACCGAAAGACAAACUGCUGCGAAAGCGUCUGCCAAGGAUGUUUUCAUUGA